AAGCUAGAAUUUAUAAAUGUUUACUAUAAUCAAGCAGUAUCCUAAGUGCUUUAUGUAUAUAAACACUUAAUUUACACAAGGACCUUCUGAGAUUGUAUGAUUACCCACUGCUCAAGAUGACAAAAGAGGUAUGAAGAUUAUGUAAUUUGCCCAGGGUCACACAAAUUAUAAGUGGAGAAGGCACACCUCACCCUGUCUCCCAUGCUCCUAAAUGCAUGGAGUAGCUAUCUGAGAUCUCAGAGAAGUAAAUAGUAGCAGGGAGAAAAAACAAAAUUCAAAGCUCCACUAAAAAAUGGUGAGUUCACCAUUUUUCCUCCUCCAGUAUCAUCCAAAAUGGACUCAAAGGCAGCCAAAACCAGAAAUGAACAUCAGAUGUGAACUGAAAGAACUCUUCUUGGAACCCUCUAUUACAGGUGUGAGGAGCAGAAAGGGACUCCUAAGAGCCCCAAGCACACCAUGGUGGUGAUAGCUGCAACAGUGACAGCAAGAGUGGCUGAGCAGGCACUGAAAUUCUGAGAGGAGAACCCCUAUCUCUGACCAGAAGAGUUGUGGUCCCACAAGUCAUCAUGUAUCCAAAUGUCCUCCGCCUCAGACCCCAUAGACAUAUGGCUGACAUCCUGGAUGGAGAACACUGACAUCUUGGGGAUAAUUGUCCAGAACCUAUAAGUUCUCCAGUUGGCAGGUGACAGGCUAGAUUAAGAGGAUGGAAUGGAUGCUGGGGCAGCACCCCAUUCUCCAAAAGAUAAGGUCUUCAGGGAUGAGAAGAAUCAUAAAGGGCAGAGAAAGGGCAAGGAAUUCUGACCUCACCUCAGGGACAGUCUAGAGAACAAGGACCUGGGCCCAGAGCAGGAAGCACCACUGCUCCUCCUUGUCCCUGGAAAUCCACUUAAGGUAGAUAUUGAGGCUGGGAAGGCUCAGGGCUACCGCACUCCGCAGGGGGACUUUAGGCUCACCUUCUCUAGCAGCUCUGCCAGCCUUCUGCAUCCCAGCCCUUUAGUGAUCGUCCCUCCAGCCAUUCCAGCUCCGUGCCCCCCGCCGGUUCUCCCCAGGAUGGAGGCAGGUUGGGAGGCUCCUUACAGGAACCAGCUACACAAAGUCUACUUCGCUUGUCUUUCAGCAACUCCUCUGCCCAACUGUCCCUAUCGUCAUCUCUCCUCCUCUAGUGUGGCUUCACCUGGCUCCCACCUUUCCUAUCUGAAGCCCCCCAGUGAUGUCUAAGGGACAGAAAGGGAAAG
Myotis davidii is the source of this 1235-nucleotide long non-coding RNA. RefSeq lists it as uncharacterized. The transcript is spliced from 3 exons. NCBI's taxonomy places the organism in Eukaryota, Metazoa, Chordata, Mammalia, Chiroptera, Vespertilionidae. The record is from RefSeq and is a predicted model, not a curated record.